GGGACCGAUAAUUUUGAUUUUUUUGGUGGUGAUGGGGUCUUAUCAUCAUUUUUGGGUGCUGGUGGUGUGGAAGAUUGCGGUGUUGAUGAUGGUGGUGAAGCUUGGGGAUUAGGUGAUGGUGGUGGAGUGGGUUUUGAUGAUGGCAGGGAUGGUGGUUGAGGCAUGAUCGAUGAUGGUGGUGGCGGGGAUUGUGGAUGCAAGAUCGGAGAGGUUGGUGGACUGGGAAGAGAUGUGGGAUAGGACGAUUCUUGAGUCUGCGACACUUCUCGUGGUGAUGGUUGUGGUAGCUG
This 290-nucleotide long non-coding RNA is filed under the name Sorghum bicolor (sorghum). Its description in RNAcentral is "long non-coding RNA (SBIC_LNC017869)". Lineage: Eukaryota; Viridiplantae; Streptophyta; Magnoliopsida; Poales; Poaceae. The record is from RNAcentral.